Molecule: unclassified non-coding RNA, 1595 nt
Filed under: Hevea brasiliensis (rubber tree)
Lineage: Eukaryota; Viridiplantae; Streptophyta; Magnoliopsida; Malpighiales; Euphorbiaceae
Source: RNAcentral
GGCACAUUAAAUGACAUAGUAUAUAAAAAGAACGUUUACAUACCAAACCAAUACAAUUAGAUUAUAUAUGUGAAACCAAAGUACAUAACAUUCAUAAAUAUUACAAGUCAAUACUAGCUAUCAUCCUUAGCUUCACGUACAUUCAAGAUUCAAAUUUGCAUGUUCCAUAACUUGGAUCGGAGAAGGCGACUACACCAGUACCAGCAAAGUCACAAUUGAAGUUGUUUCGACCUUCCUUUUGAUAGUACGAGUUCAUGGCAAAGGCUGCGUGAGAUCGGAUAGUGUUGGGUUUAAAGCAGGAACCACCCACUUGAAUUGGUGUGCAGUCAACUCCCUGACUGCACACAUAGUUAAUGUUGGAUUGUAGUUGUGCAUCAGUUGCCUCAACCUUUGGCAUGCAGAAUUUUUUGUUCUCUGCUGGUGUUUUUGGUUGACCUUUAUUGCCUCCGCCACCGGUUUUUGGUGGGGGCAAUGAAGGUGUUGGGUGAGCCUGGUUGCUUUUCAAAACUCCGACAUCAUAAACCGGAGUGAAAUCGGGUCGGAACAACCCGAAGUUCCUCUCAGCGAUGGAUCCGGGUUUGGUGUUCUCAUUGAACAAUGAAAAAAUGUAGGUCUCGAUCUUCCUGUGCGGCAUCAAUGGCGUACCGAUCCCGGAAUUAUAUUUCUUCAUCAAUCCACCAUUAUACGAAGCUGCAUUUUCCACAGUACAUUGCGGUUCAUACGCUUCUCCUUGCGAAGGCCACCCUGUCUCAGCAGCAACAAUCUCCACAUCUGAAUGCUUCAAUCUCACCAUCGACAUAUACACCGCAUCCAACAACAUAUCAAAAGAAUUCGUAUACCAUUUCUUCGAAAAUCUAUCGUAAACCCCUUUAUUCUUUCUAAAUAGAAGAAAAUCCUCUUGUUUCUUGUUGUAUCCGAAGUAGGGAUAGGGAUUUACCAUGAAAGGACCUUUUGUUUCACGAAGAAAUUGUAGCAUCGGAGCUAGAAUACCCACAUCCCAACCGGGUCGAAACCGGGCUGCACUGGGUGGGUUAGAACGGAGUAGAAUACCCAACGAAUGAGCUGAAGAGACUUUUAUACCCUUCAACCCAGAUAAACCCAAAGCUUGGUAAAAAACUUUCAUAGCUGGAACAAGCUUGUUCUGUACCUCAGGUGUAUCCCAGUGAAGAACCUCAUUACCCACUAGAAUAACAUCCAUCUUUGUCUGUGGGUAAUGAGGUUUGAUAUUCUGCUCGACGUAUCGUCGAGCAUAGGCGAGAUCCAGUAGAUUCGGGAUCUCGCCGUUUGGUACUGUGACUGUUAGCGAGAUUCCUGUGUUUGCAAAAGCACGGAGGAUGUCAGGGUUGAUAUCGAAAAUCUUUACACGGUCUAUGACCGUUUUAUCCUUGAUGAACUGAGCCACUUGAGCUGGCGGAGGGAGGUUGUUUCCGAGAGUCCCGUAAUUAACACCUAUAGAAGUUACAUCAUGAAGAAAAAGAGCAAUAGCAAUGAGAAAUAGCACAAAAGAAGUUUUGCUUAUCAUGGUUGAUAUGGUUGAUGCAGAGAUAGAUGAUUUAUUUAUAUAUAUGAAGAAGAAUAGUCCAAUUUGAAAUUUG